UCCUACGGGAGGCAGCAGUGGGGAAUAUUGCACGAUGGGCGCAAGCCUGAUGCAGCAACGCCGCGUGAGGGACGAAGGCCUUCGGGUUGUAAACCUCUUUUAGUAGGGAAGAAGCGACUGGGUUUUCCUGGGAGUGACGGUACCUGCAGAAAAAGCACCGGCUAACUACGUGCCAGCAGCCGCGGUAAUACGUAGGGUGCAAGCGUUGUCCGGAAUUAUUGGGCGUAAAGAGCUCGUAGGCGGUUUGUCGCGUCUGCUGUGAAAACCCGAGGCUCAACCUCGGGCCUGCAGUGGGUACGGGCAGACUAGAGUGCGGUAGGGGAGAUUGGAAUUCCCGGUGUAGCGGUGGAAUGCGCAGAUAUCAGGAGGAACACCAAUGGCGAAGGCAGAUCUCUGGGCCGUAACUGACGCUGAGGAGCGAAAGCAUGGGGAGCGAACAGGAUUAGAUACCCUGGUAGUCCGUGCCGUAAACGUUGGGAACUAGAUGUGGGGACCAUUCCACGGUCUCCGUGUCGCAGCUAACGCAUUAAGUUCCCCGCCUGGGGAGUACGGCCGCAAGGCUAAAACUCAAAGGAAUUGACGGGGGCCCGCACAAGCGGCGGAGCAUGCGGAUUAAUUCGAUGCAACGCGAAGAACCUUACCAAGGCUUGACAUAUACCGGAAACGGCUGGAAACAGUCGCCCCGCAAGGUCGGUAUACAGGUGGUGCAUGGUUGUCGUCAGCUCGUGUCGUGAGAUGUUGGGUUAAGUCCCGCAACGAGCGCAACCCUCGUCCUAUGUUGCCAGCACGUAAUGGUGGGAACUCAUGGGAUACUGCCGGGGUCAACUCGGAGGAAGGUGGGGAUGACGUCAAAUCAUCAUGCCCCUUAUGUCUUGGGCUUCACGCAUGCUACAAUGGCCGGUACAAAGGGCUGCGAUACCGCCACGGUGGAGCGAAUCCCAAAAAGCCGGUCUCAGUUCGGAUUGUGGUCUGCAACUCGACCUCAUGAAGUCGGAGUCGCUAGUAAUCGCAGAUCAGCAACGCUACGGUGAAUACGUUCCCGGGCCUUGUACACACCGCC
Molecule: ribosomal RNA, 1060 nt
Filed under: uncultured Cryobacterium sp.
Lineage: Bacteria; Bacillati; Actinomycetota; Actinomycetes; Micrococcales; Microbacteriaceae
Description: bacterial SSU rRNA
Rfam family: Bacterial small subunit ribosomal RNA
Source: RNAcentral